Arachis ipaensis is the source of this 541-nucleotide non-coding RNA. NCBI's taxonomy places the organism in Eukaryota, Viridiplantae, Streptophyta, Magnoliopsida, Fabales, Fabaceae. The record is from RefSeq and is a predicted model, not a curated record.
GUUGUUUAUUUUAAUGGUGUGUGGAUUUUGUAGUCCAUGGCUGAAGCAUUGGAAACACAAGUUAAGAGCAAGGUCUCCAUUAAGGGACAUCUCCACACAUACAGAUUUUGUGACAACGUUUGGACCUUCAUGUUACAAGAUGCAUUGAUUAAGACUGAUGACUGUCAAGAGAAUGUUGGAAGAGUUAAAAUUGUGGCAUGUGAUUCAAAGUUACUCACACAAUAAACUUGCUGAAUUUCCAUGGACUGUGGAUGAAGGAGUUGUUGUCAUUUGCUUGUAUCAUGGGAAUGGUGGUGGCAAAGACAAUAGUCAAAGAUGAUCUUAAUUCUCGAAUGAACAGCAACCACGUAACAAUAUGGAUUUUAAAGCCAUUAAUCUUCACACCUUUAUUUAGUUAAUGUUACAUUCAGAAUGCUACAUGUUUAAUUGGAUGAGAAUACUCUCCUUCACUGUACUGUUUUAUAAACGAACUUAUGGUUGAAGGAUGGUUGUUUCAGAUUGUGAUUUUUGACCAUCUUAUAACGUAAAAACGUUUUUUUGA